CUGCUGGAGGAGCUCACCGAUGGGACUUUGUCCAGACCAGGAGGGCCCUGCAUCGCAAAGUUCGGCUGAUUUUCUCGGCUCAAUCACUUCACGACAUAUACACUGGGAUACGUAUAGCUGAUCCACUCGUACAGCCCCAUCGCCGGCGUCUAACUAUAUAGCUGGCUGACCAAUACGACGACGAUGGGAGCCGUACAGCGGAUCGGCCAUAUGACCGGUCGAUGAAGAAGAGAUGACGGCGAAGACAGCGACGGCAGCCAGGACCCGAACCCCCACGACAAAACCUCCACGACAGCCCCGAAACUCCGGUUCUCGGCGUGGCCAAGCUCCGCCUGUGGCCACGCCCCCUUCUAGAACUCUCGUGCAGGUUCCCGGAGCUUCCCAACUGAUCCCCGCCUCUGACCUUUAGCCAAGUUACGCCCCGUUAUGGUUGGCUAUUAUAUAGUGCACCCAUACCCGUAAUUGUCCCUCCUGGUCAACAGAUGGCACCCUGUCACUACAUCACCCCCCCCCCCCCCCAUGUUUAAAAGAUAGUUAAUAUGAACAAAAGCAGGCAGAAAAAUUCCGUAAUAAAGAACAGUAAAAAAUCCCGAAGAAAACUCUUUUUGUUGGGCGAAACAAUCCGCGACUGAAAAGGCAGACCCAAGAACAACAAGGAAGGAAUCGCAACUUUCCACGACUCUGGAAGUUGAUGUGGGCUCGCAUAAAAGCCCUGAUGGGGUCGGCUCCAUCCCCAACUCGGGCCGGGUUGUUGCCGGUGUUCCUUCGAAUUCGGCAGGAUCUCGUGACUCCCCAACCUUCAAGGGCUCGGAAACUGUGGGCGGCACAACACAAUCCUUCUGACGCACACUCUCCGUGGCCGAUUCCCCCGGCUCGUCAGGCACAUCAAACACCAGCCGUAUAAUGUUUGGAGAUGAGGUGUCAGUUCGGUGAGGAACAUAUGGUUUCAGCCGUGACGGAUGGACAAAGCAACGGCGACGGCCCACCUGUAUACGUGGCUGUUUGACUUCCACUGCCUCCAUGGGACCCUGCCAUGGCCGAUGCAAUUUAGGGACAUUCCCAGCGGCACCUGCGGGCAGUGCAACCAUGCCCGGUCCCCUAUGGCCCAUGGCAGCACACAGUCAUGCCGCCCCACAUUCUUUUCAUUAGCAUCCUGCCCUCUGGCGGUGGUUUCUUUGGCCGCUUCGCGUAAUUCCGACAUGCGAUUUAGUGUAACUUGCAGGGGCGUAGGCAAGGUCGUUUUUCCCUUGCCCUCUGACAGGCCCAAUUGAACCUCCAUGGGGGGUUCAUUUUCCCUCCCAUACAUGAGUAAAAACGGCGAAAAUCCCGUGGAAGCAUGUGGAGCCAUCUUGUAUGCCGCCAGGACUCCCGGAACAUGCAGAUCCCAAUCCGUUUGAGCCCCACUAACCGCCUGACAGAGCAUGGAUGUCAGGAUUCUAUGCAGGCAUUCCACCAUACUAUCCGUUGGGGGAUGGUAUGGUGACGUUCUAAUUUUCUUAGUGCCUAGAACGUCACAUACUUCGUGCAGCAGCUUCGAUGAGAAAUUCCGUCCCUGAUCCGUGAGAAGCUGCUCGGGGGUCCCCUUAUCCAUUACGUAGCCGUGCACAAAUGCAUCAGCAAUGGAAGCGGCCGGUUGGUCGGGCAAUGGCCAGGCCAUCGACCACCAGGAUAAAUAUUCCACCCCUACCAGGAGAAAUGUAUUCCCUCUCUGCUUGGCCGGGAAGGGUCCCAGAAUGUCGAGCGUAACCAACUCGCUAUGUUCUGCCUCACGACAGGUGUGGGUGUGUGUGUACACCGGAAUUUCCUGUUUGGAUGUUGAGUUUGGUCACGUGACCAGGAAGUUACGAUUUUACAUCCUCUGAGCCAUGCGGCAGGGUAUCAGCCAUUACACAGAGUACAAAAUGGUGGCACAAAUAGCGUCUCAGUGGAGACAGCUGCAUCUGUUCAUUGUGGGACUUUAAGAAGCAUUGGCUGUAAGUUCGUUUAUGUUUUUAUAAUACUGGGAAUGCUGUUAUAAUGUUACAAUGGCCGUUAUAAUGCUGUUAAAUUGUUAUGAUAAAUACGAGGCCUAGUUAACAACGAAGCUUUCCACUUGCCUUAUUGUGAAUGCUACUUGUAAUUGAAUAAGUCGAGUCAGACUUGUACCCAUGUAACCUUAUUGCGAUCUUGAGAGCAAGGAUGACGAAAUAUCUCAUCCACAGUUCAGUGUUAUGUGUAGUGCUGUACAUUUAGGCAGUAGUAUGGUCGAAUCAGGGAGAGGUCGGACAAGCACGGCUCGUGACGCGUGAGACUUCGUGUUAAAAAAUACGGUGUCCGUGCGCUCUGAGUUAAGAAGCGGCGUCUCUGUUCCGCACACAGGCGGUGAAUAUGCACGAGUAGUGGCCUCUCACUUGGGGGGG
Non-coding RNA from Petromyzon marinus (sea lamprey), 2399 nucleotides. NCBI's taxonomy places the organism in Eukaryota, Metazoa, Chordata, Hyperoartia, Petromyzontiformes, Petromyzontidae. The record is from RefSeq and is a predicted model, not a curated record.